GGAAUAUUGGACAAUGGGCGAAAGCCUGAUCCAGCAAUGCCGCGUGAGUGAUGAAGGCCUUAGGGUUGUAAAGCUCUUUUACCAGGGAUGAUAAUGACAGUACCUGGAGAAUAAGCUCCGGCUAACUCCGUGCCAGCAGCCGCGGUAAUACGGAGGGAGCUAGCGUUGUUCGGAAUUACUGGGCGUAAAGCGCACGUAGGCGGAUUUGUAAGUAGGGGGUGAAAUCCCCAGGCUCAACCUGGGAACUGCCUUCUAGACUGCAAGUCUGGAGAUCAGGAGAGGCGAGUGGAAUACCGAGUGUAGAGGUGAAAUUCGUAGAUAUUCGGUGGAACACCAGUGGCGAAGGCGACUCGCUGGACUGAUACUGACGCUGAGGUGCGAAAGCGUGGGGAGCAAAC
Molecule: ribosomal RNA, 398 nt
Filed under: uncultured bacterium
Lineage: Bacteria
Description: bacterial SSU rRNA
Rfam family: Bacterial small subunit ribosomal RNA
Source: RNAcentral